RNAcentral lists this transfer RNA (72 nucleotides) under Ovis aries (sheep). It matches the Rfam family "tRNA". From Rfam's summary of the family: Transfer RNA (tRNA) molecules are approximately 80 nucleotides in length. The record is from Rfam by way of RNAcentral. Lineage: Eukaryota; Metazoa; Chordata; Mammalia; Artiodactyla; Bovidae.
UCCCUGAUAGCUCAGUUGGUAAAGAAUCUGCCUGUAAUGCAGGAGACGUGGGUUCGAUUCCUGAGUAGGGAA